AAGUUUACUCAUGAGGUGGCGAGCGGCGGACGGGUGAGUAAUGCCUAGGGAUCUGCCCAGUCGAGGGGGAUAACAGUUGGAAACGACUGCUAAUACCGCAUACGCCCUACGGGGGAAAGAGGGGGACCUUCGGGCCUCUCGCGAUUGGAUGAACCUAGGUGGGAUUAGCUAGUUGGUGAGGUAAUGGCUCACCAAGGCGACGAUCCCUAGCUGUUCUGAGAGGAUGAUCAGCCACACUGGGACUGAGACACGGCCCAGACUCCUACGGGAGGCAGCAGUGGGGAAUAUUGCACAAUGGGGGAAACCCUGAUGCAGCCAUGCCGCGUGUGUGAAGAAGGCCUUCGGGUUGUAAAGCACUUUCAGUAGGGAGGAAAGGGUGAGUCUUAAUACGGCUCAUCUGUGACGUUACCUACAGAAGAAGGACCGGCUAACUCCGUGCCAGCAGCCGCGGUAAUACGGAGGGUCCGAGCGUUAAUCGGAAUUACUGGGCGUAAAGCGUGCGCAGGCGGUUUGUUAAGCGAGAUGUGAAAGCCCUGGGCUCAACCUAGGAAUAGCAUUUCGAACUGGCGAACUAGAGUCUUGUAGAGGGGGGUA
Molecule: ribosomal RNA, 594 nt
Filed under: Shewanella putrefaciens
Lineage: Bacteria; Pseudomonadati; Pseudomonadota; Gammaproteobacteria; Alteromonadales; Shewanellaceae
Description: bacterial SSU rRNA
Rfam family: Bacterial small subunit ribosomal RNA
Source: RNAcentral